Molecule: non-coding RNA, 387 nt
Organism: Styela clava
Lineage: Eukaryota; Metazoa; Chordata; Ascidiacea; Stolidobranchia; Styelidae
Source: RefSeq, a predicted model, not a curated record
GUGGAUGUUUAUUUUAGGCGGUUGGUUUUUGUAGCUUUUCAUGCGUUAAUUGAGCAUGUUUGUGUUACAGUAGUAGACUUGUAGUUGGUAGACCAAAAUAUUCUUUAAAUACCGUGUACAUCAGGUAACACGGUAGCGACUGCUGAGACUUUUUACGUCAUCGCUGAACGAGAAGUGGUGUGUUCCUGUAGAUCGUUUUUUGAAGCGGUAGCUUUUCAGUUUGCUUCGUUCUAUGUUUUCAACAUAGAAUAUCCAAAGAAGGCCUUGCUGACGUUUGAUUUUAUUCAGAGGUUCUUCGGUGACAUAAACCCCAGAGGCACUAAGUCGAAAUAAAGUAAAGGCAAAGACGUUCAUGCAAAAGUAAUCGGCCUUGCAAGAAGAGUGAAU